AAGAGUAUUUGAGAUUUGUAAAAGUAGAUGAAUGAAGGAGCUCGGAGUGCUUUAAAAUUUGUGUGAUAGGUGAUCCUUAAAUAUGGGCUAUAUAAUCGGGAUAUCUUAAGAUUUAUGCGAGUUGAUAAAUGAAGGUAUUUUUUUUGUACAUGCGGGCGGUCACACCACUCUGAUAUGAGUACAGUUCAGAAAAUCAGAAUAUAAAAAAUCCCA
This 213-nucleotide long non-coding RNA is filed under the name Elaeis guineensis (African oil palm). Its description in RNAcentral is "long non-coding RNA (EGUI_LNC073300)". Lineage: Eukaryota; Viridiplantae; Streptophyta; Magnoliopsida; Arecales; Arecaceae. The record is from RNAcentral.